This 21-nucleotide microRNA is filed under the name Pteropus alecto (black flying fox). RNAcentral describes it as "pal-miR-9996-3p". The record is from miRBase by way of RNAcentral. Lineage: Eukaryota; Metazoa; Chordata; Mammalia; Chiroptera; Pteropodidae.
AGGGGCAGCAUGGUGUAGCAG